CCAGGAGCUUGCUCCUGGGUGAGAGUGGCGAACGGGUGAGUAAUGCGUGACCGACCUGCCCCAUACACCGGAAUAGCUCCUGGAAACGGGUGGUAAUGCCGGAUGCUCCAGUUGAAUGCAUGUCCUUCUGGGAAAGCUUCAUCGGUAUGGGAUGGGGUCGCGUCCUAUCAGCUUGAUGGCGGGGUAACGGCCCACCAUGGCUUCGACGGGUAGCCGGCCUGAGAGGGCGACCGGCCACAUUGGGACUGAGAUACGGCCCAGACUCCUACGGGAGGCAGCAGUGGGGAAUAUUGCACAAUGGGCGCAAGCCUGAUGCAGCGACGCCGCGUGCGGGAUGACGGCCUUCGGGUUGUAAACCGCUUUUGACUGGGAGCAAGCCCUUCGGGGUGAGUGUACCUUUCGAAUAAGCACCGGCUAACUACGUGCCAGCAGCCGCGGUAAUACGUAGGGUGCAAGCGUUAUCCGGAAUUAUUGGGCGUAAAGGGCUCGUAGGCGGUUCGUCGCGUCCGGUGUGAAAGUCCAUCGCUUAACGGUGGAUCCGCGCCGGGUACGGGCGGGCUUGAGUGCGGUAGGGGAGACUGGAAUUCCCGGUGUAACGGUGGAAUGUGUAGAUAUCGGGAAGAACACCAAUGGCGAAGGCAGGUCUCUGGGCCGUCACUGACGCUGAGGAGCGAAAGCGUGGGGAGCGAACAGGAUUAGAUACCCUGGUAGUCCACGCCGUAAACGGUGGAUGCUGGAUGUGGGGACCAUUCCACGGUCUCCGUGUCGGAGCCAACGCGUUAAGCAUCCCGCCUGGGGAGUACGGCCGCAAGGCUAAAACUCAAAGAAAUUGACGGGGGCCCGCACAAGCGGCGGAGC
This 858-nucleotide ribosomal RNA is filed under the name Bifidobacterium adolescentis. RNAcentral's name for it is "bacterial SSU rRNA". It matches the Rfam family "Bacterial small subunit ribosomal RNA", at positions 72 to 938 of the family's 1533-position model. Lineage: Bacteria; Bacillati; Actinomycetota; Actinomycetes; Bifidobacteriales; Bifidobacteriaceae. The record is from RNAcentral.